UUGUGGUUAAAAAGCUCGUAGUUGGAUCUCAACAGCCUUGAAGCGGUUAACUUUGUAGUUUUACUGCUUUAUAGGCUGUGCUUUUGCUGGAGGUUUAGGGGUGCUCUUGAUCGAGUGUCUCUGGAUGCCAGCAGGUUUACUUUGAAAAAAUUAGAGUGCUCAAAGCAGGCUAAAAUGCCUGAAUAUUCGUGCAUGGAAUAAUAGAAUAGGAUGUCGAUCCUAUUUUGUUGGUUUUCGGGACUCGACAUAAUGAUAAAUAGGGACAGUCGGGGGCAUUUGUAUUCAAACGACAGAGGUGAAAUUCUUGGACCGUUUGAAGACAAACUACUGCAAAAGCAUUUGCCAAGAAUGUUUUCAUUAAUCAAGAACGAAAGUUAGAGGUUCGAAGGCGAUUAGAUACCGCCCUAGUUCUAACCAUAAACGAUGCCAGCUAGCGAUCUGCCUGCGUUUUUACUGUAGACUGGGCAGGAAGCUUCCGGGAAACCAAAGCAUUUGGGUUCCAGGGGAAGUAUGGUUGCAAAGCUGAAACUUAAAGGAAUUGACGGAAGGGCACCACCAGGAGUGGAGCCUGUGGCUUAAUUUGACUCAACACGGGAAAUCUCACCAGGCCCGGACACUGGAAGGAUUGACAGAUUGAUAGCUCUU
This 645-nucleotide ribosomal RNA is filed under the name uncultured marine eukaryote. Its description in RNAcentral is "SSU rRNA". It matches the Rfam family "Eukaryotic small subunit ribosomal RNA", at positions 613 to 1259 of the family's 1831-position model. The record is from RNAcentral.